UAGAUAAAGGUUAAAACCAUUCCCAGGGUC
This 30-nucleotide non-coding RNA is filed under the name Mus musculus (house mouse). The record is from RNAcentral. Lineage: Eukaryota; Metazoa; Chordata; Mammalia; Rodentia; Muridae.